GACAGAGGUGCCGAGCGUUAGGCGGAAUCACUGGGCUUAAAGCGUGUGUAGGCGGGCGAUCAAGUACCUUGUGAAAUCCCACGGCUCAACCGUGGAACCGCUGGGUAUACUGGUUGUCUUGAGCCGGCUAGGGGCGAGCGGAACAGACGGUGGAGCGGUGAAAUGCGUAGAUAUCGCCUGGAACGCCGAAGGUGAAAACAGCUCGCUGGGGCCGCGCUGACGCUGAGACACGAAAGCCAGGGGAGCGAACGGG
Molecule: ribosomal RNA, 253 nt
Filed under: uncultured bacterium
Lineage: Bacteria
Description: partial 16S ribosomal RNA
Rfam family: Bacterial small subunit ribosomal RNA
Source: RNAcentral